AGAAGAUACCGCUGGGUUGGCUGGCAACACGGUUUGAACCCGUGGGCGCUGGAAACGGUGGGGGUUCGACUCCUCUAUCUUCUGCCA
Molecule: transfer RNA, 87 nt
Filed under: Gammaproteobacteria bacterium
Lineage: Bacteria; Pseudomonadati; Pseudomonadota; Gammaproteobacteria
Description: tRNA-OTHER
Source: RNAcentral